GUUCUGUUCGAGACUGGAAGAAACGAGGAGAACGACUCCUCGCUUAAAAUUUACUCCCAUUAAGCAUUUCUGAAAAUACCGCACGCACUGUUGAGCAAGCUCAGUGCACAUUGGGAAUGGUGAUGUGGCGAGUGAGCACAUGGAUGGUAGAGCAAGAAUUCUCUCUAGCCUUGUCGAGAACUGAAGUUGUUGUGCUGACCUCCUUUACGUUUCCGAAAUACGAGCUGACUCCGUCAGUAAGGAAAUAUACCGUAAGCGCCUAGCGAUUUCAUUCAGGCUAUCGGACAAUGGCGGACACUUCGAGUUUAUUUUUUACAAUUCAAAUUUAUGAGGAGAGCCGGCAGUCAUCGCGAGGGCCAGGACUCGACAAAGUAACUCUAUUAACAUAUUAAAGAAGCAACGAAGCCCAGCAGAGCAAGUUGAGAAUGUUUUAUUGGAUUUGUUUUUUACAGUUUCAGUGUA
Molecule: long non-coding RNA, 462 nt
Organism: Hermetia illucens (black soldier fly)
Lineage: Eukaryota; Metazoa; Arthropoda; Insecta; Diptera; Stratiomyidae
Exons: 3
Source: RefSeq, a predicted model, not a curated record